UGCUGAGAUUACAGGCAUGAGCCACUGUGCCCGGCCCCUCUUCAAUUUUUUUCAUCUAUGUUUUAUAGAUUUCUUAAUUGUAGCCAGGGCUGACGUGUCAUUGAGAUUUUUAUUCAAUUUUUUAAACACUUUAAGUCCCACAGACAACAUCAUGUCAGGUCUUUAUGAUUUUGGAGUUUAGAUUUGGUUUCCUCCCUCUAUGAACCCUCCUUGUUAUAAAUUGAUUUUGUCACCCCCUUUCAAAUUCAUAUAUUGAAGUCCUAAUUCCUGGUACCUAAUGCGACCUUAUUUGAAAAUAAGGUCAUUGUAGAUAGAAUUAGUUAAGAUGAGGUAGGAUGGGCCCCUAAAUCAAUAUAACUGGUGUUCUUUAAAAAGUGGGAACACACACAUUCAGGGAGAACACUAUGUGAACCUAAAGGCAUAGAUUGGUAUGCAUCUACAAACCAAGAAACUCCAAAGCUUGCUGGCAGAAGCUAUAAGAAAGGGGUGGAGCAGGUUUUUCCCUCACAGCUCAUGGAAGAAACCAACAGUGCCAACAACUUGAUCCUGGACUUCCAGCCUCCAGAACUGUGAGGUAAUAAAUUUCUGUUGCUUAAACCACUCAGCAUGUGGUAUUUCAUGAUGUCAACCCUAAGAAACUAACACUAAUACACUUUCUUCACAGUUGUGCCAGAAAAUUGUCUCAUUAGCUGAUUAGUGACUCCCUUAUUAUUUCUGCUUUUGUACAUUGAGUGGGAAUAUUUGCAUAUCAUUGAUGCCAGAAUCUAUCCUUCAAAAUGAUGGCCAUUUUAAAAAUGGAUAAUAUCUUUAAGCAUUGCCUUGCCCUUCCAAAAGGUGAAAAAAAAGUGAGGCUUGGUAAGGAGGACAAGAUCUGCUAAAACUUGCCAUUAAAAAAUAUUAUAGCAGAUCUCUGGAUACGUUCCAGUAUUAAAACACAUUUGACAGAAAUAUGAGAAAUGAGAGACCAUACUACCAAUGUCAUUCUAUCAAUGUCUUUAAGAUGAGAGCAAAGAAGCAAGAGGAUCAAGGAGGAAAAUAAUAAAGAAUCCUUGCUAUCAAGCAGAAAGGGGAUUGGCCUUGAUCAGUGGGAAAGUUAAAAAGGGCCACAAAAUUAAACUGCUCCUUAAAAAAUAGAAAAGGAGAUAAUGAAGUCAAGGGAAAAGCAACAUUAGUAUCUGGAUUUAAUUCAUGACCUUCUUAGUCCUAGGAGAAUUUGGGCCAGGAGAAUUUCCUAAUCAGCAGCUGCACUCCCCACUUCUAGUUCUCUGGGCCACAUUUGACAAAUGUAGAUCUGAAACUUUAAUAUGGAUGAGAAUCACCAGAGGUCUUCUAAAACAGAUUGCUGUCUCUCUUCCCACUGCACCCCAUAGUUGCCAUUUCAUAGGUCUGGAGUGGGGUCCCAAUAACUUGCAUUUUUAAUGAGUUCCCAGGUAAUGCUGAUGCUGCUGAUCUGGGGGCAAUACUUUAAGAACCACUGGACUGUAACAAUGUCAAACCUGCCUGAUGAGAAGAAUCACCUGGAAGGUUUAAAAAAAUGCAAAAUCCUCGGCCCCAUGCCAGACUUUCUGACUCAACCUCCAGGGAAGAGCCUAAAAUUUUCUAUUUCAACAAUCCUGCCUGAUUAAUAUGAUUAGGUGAGUUUGGAAAAUGCUACACCAAAUCUCUAUAAAUUCCCUUUUUUAGCAUCUGUUGUUUUUCCACUUGGUUUCAGUGAAUUUUGCAAUAUGGCAGUAGCUAUGUGAUGAGCUAAGAGUAGCACAAGUACUAGGUUCUGUACCUUGAAUUUCCUGAUCCCAUUGGCUGACCACAGUACCCUGCUUUUUCUUUUUAUGAACAUGUGCCUUGGGAGAGAGUCUUCCUUAAUCCCAACUGGCCCUGGUAUCAUGAUGUCAUCCAGAGGCCACUCUGAAACCAACUCAGAUGAUGUAGCCUUCACUGCAAGAAUUUGUUUGUACCAGCUCUAUGCCAUACACCGUGAUAGACACACCAGACGUGGAAGUGAGAAAUAUGGUUCCCAUCUUGGAUAGCAAAGAAGAUGGACAAAUAAACCAACAAAUUAAACACAGAAAAACGUUUUCUAAAGGAAGGAGGUUUCUUGAAGGAAGUGGUACUUCUGUUGAAAUAUGAAAGAUGAGUGAGGGUUAGUCACAUACAGAAAGGGAGAAGGGAGUAUCCAAUGUAGAUAGAACAGCAUAUGAAAAGCACAGAGAUGUGAGAGAGCAGGUAGGCAUUGCUGUAAAUCCAGGUGGAUGUAAAAAAAAUCAGAGCCUUGCAGGAACUAGGUUGUAGAAAGCUCUGUGGACUAAGUUUAGUUGGUUUAACUUUAUCCUAAAAGUCACAGGAAAAUAUUAAAGAUGUUUAAAAAAGAAAAAAAAGCAGAUUUUCAUUUUAUUAACAAAACAUAACUCUGGCAGCAGGUGUGGAAAAUGGAUGGAGGGGCCAGGACCAGAAGAAAGACACCUGUUACUGAAGCAAUGCAGAUGGGAAAUGAUGGAGACCUAGAUGUAGACCAUGCCAGCAAAGACGGAGGGGCAGAAUUGAGUAAUACUUGUAGAACUAAUGUAACUUACAGGAUGAUUAGAUACAUAGAAAGGAGACUAACUCAAUCCUUUAUUUUUCUUCCUUUUUCAAAAGUUUUUUUAAGACUAUAUUACUAUCUUUUCCCCAUUCCCUCCAUACUUAAUAUGACAGUUAGCUAAUUUUACUUGAAUACCUAUGUCUUAUUCUUUACCAACACCAUCAAGCAGCAGCAUCUCCCUACCACCACCACAACAAGCAGCAAGUGUUUAUGGAGCACCUCUUAAUAAAUUAUCCUUUGUCUUGUUUUGUGACAAAUUUACAUUCCUCUCUGCUUUACUUUUGCUUUAUCCUGUAUUUUUCAUUGUUCUGUGGUUUAGCGUGUAUUUUCUUCUGCUCUUCCAGGACCAUAGGAUUUCAGAGCUUGUUACUUAAGUUCUCAGGUUUUUGAUAUGUACUUGGAAUUUUAUUUUUUACUACUUUCUCAAAGUAAUGCUCCACAAAUAUUUCUUAUGUAAUUCCAAUGCAUCUAAAGAGAUUUAGCAUUUGAGUUUUAUGUUAAACCAAUAAACUGAUUAAAGCCAUAAUUAGCAAUCACCAACUUUUAUCUGGAAAUAAACUGAAAACUAUUAUUCACU
RNAcentral lists this long non-coding RNA (3155 nucleotides) under Homo sapiens (human). RNAcentral's name for it is "HSALNT0293082". Lineage: Eukaryota; Metazoa; Chordata; Mammalia; Primates; Hominidae. The record is from RNAcentral.